This 87-nucleotide transfer RNA is filed under the name Candidatus Sulfotelmatobacter sp. SbA7. Its description in RNAcentral is "tRNA-Leu". It matches the Rfam family "tRNA". From Rfam's summary of the family: Transfer RNA (tRNA) molecules are approximately 80 nucleotides in length. Their secondary structure includes four short double-helical elements and three loops (D, anti-codon, and T loops). Lineage: Bacteria; Pseudomonadati; Acidobacteriota; Terriglobia; Terriglobales; Candidatus Korobacteraceae. RNAcentral also lists the same sequence under 2 other names. The record is from RNAcentral.
GCCGGGAUGGCGGAACUGGCAGACGCAGCGGACUCAAAAUCCGCCGGACUUCGGUCCUUGGGGGUUCAAGUCCCCCUCCCGGCACCA